This is a long non-coding RNA of Halichondria panicea, 291 nucleotides long. RefSeq lists it as uncharacterized. Lineage: Eukaryota; Metazoa; Porifera; Demospongiae; Suberitida; Halichondriidae. The transcript is spliced from 2 exons. The record is from RefSeq and is a predicted model, not a curated record.
GCUAAAGGCUACUUCUUUUAUUGUUUAGUAAUAGCUAUAGCUAGCUACUACUAGCCUACAGGCUAGGCUCCUUCACAAGCUAGGCCUCAACUUCAGUGCGGCCUGGAAUCGAGGCUACUUCUCUCGUCUGCUGGGGUACUGAUGGAUGGCUCUUAAAGGCAGCAGCCUGCAUGGAGGGGGUGUGGUGAUAGUCUAGAGGACAGCACAGUACACACAAUGCACUAGCAUGAUAGUUCUGACAUGACUAUAAUUAUUAUUUAUAAAAGCAAUUAAUGUUAAGGAUAAUGCAAA